GACAGAGGAUGCAAGCGUUAUCCGGAAUGAUUGGGCGUAAAGGGCGCGUAGGCGGCCAUGCGUGUCUUCCGUGAAAUCCCUCGGCUUAACUGAGGACGUGCGGAAGAAACUGCAAGGCUCGAGUCCGGGAGAGGGGGGUGGAAUUCCCAGUGUAGCGGUGAAAUGCGUAGAUAUUGGGAGGAACACCGGUGGCGAAGGCGGCCCCCUGGACCGGUACUGACGCUGAGGCGCGAAAGCGUGGGUAGCAAACGGG
This 253-nucleotide ribosomal RNA is filed under the name uncultured bacterium. Its description in RNAcentral is "partial 16S ribosomal RNA". It matches the Rfam family "Bacterial small subunit ribosomal RNA", at positions 524 to 776 of the family's 1533-position model. The record is from RNAcentral.